Molecule: long non-coding RNA, 769 nt
Filed under: Cyanistes caeruleus (blue tit)
Lineage: Eukaryota; Metazoa; Chordata; Aves; Passeriformes; Paridae
Description: lncRNA (ENSCCEG00000002828.1)
Source: RNAcentral
AUGGAUCCUAUUAGGCAUUAUUGGUUCUAUUCUUUUGCCUUUGACACCAGGUCAGCAGGGGCUUCUGCCUGCUUUGUGAAGGGAGCCCCUGGGGCCCAUUCCCUCCCCGAGGGGCUGCACUUGGCAGCUGCCGGGACUUUCACGGCUGAGCCCACUGGGAGCCCCGGAGCUGGCCUGGGGACAAAGGGUGGGGCUGGCCCGGCUGUGAUGCCUCUGGCCCGUGUGACAUCAGGGGAACGGGUCACAAUGGGGCAGCUAGAAAAGACCCUCACAGGUGAUGCUGGCCCAGCACAGCCUGGGCAAGUGCUGAGUGUGCUCGUGGCAGGGCUGGGCUGGGCCAAGGCUGGGGCACGAGCUCCACACCUGGACCAUGGAGCGCAGAUCAGUCCUUGGCCUGGGCUGUGGGUGAGACGCAGAAGAGCAGCCGUGAGGCUGAGAGCAGUGGCCCACAGAGCCGAGGCAGACGCGAGAAGGCGCAGGAGAGAAAUCGAGGCGAGAAGGCUUCGGUUACGGAGGACAGUCAGAGACUUGAGGGAAAUGUGGAGGACCAUGAGGAUGCUAAAGAAGAGAAUGGCCAGGCUGAUUCGAGUGACUCGGACUGUGAGCAGGAAGGUGCAGGUGACUUCUUCGCUCCAAGCUCUCCUGGCCCACCUGAACCCACCUGUGACAUCCAGCUCUGUCUCAAAUUCCCAUCCCAGCCAAGCUGCUGUGGAGCUGAAAUCUACCUUGAAAAACAACUGAAAUAAACUCAAGCUGAAAAAUAAACUCA